This is an RNA transcript of Folsomia candida, 1468 nucleotides long. RefSeq lists it as uncharacterized. The record is from RefSeq and is a predicted model, not a curated record. The transcript has 4 exons. NCBI's taxonomy places the organism in Eukaryota, Metazoa, Arthropoda, Collembola, Entomobryomorpha, Isotomidae.
UCUCCACCAUUCUUCAGGCUGGACAAAAGCUACUCAAUUGCAAGUUCUUUAACGCAGAAAAUCCUCCUUGAAAAUUAUUGGAUUUUUGAAGGAUAAAUAUUUAUUUUGCAGUUUUGGAAAAGCAACCGCAUCUCUUCCCUGCGUGCCUUCAUUUACGUCAUUUUCUAGAAGGCAGAUUUUUCCAGUGAUUGAUGAUUCAUCUCGCCACCAUUUGUAAGGCUGGACAGAAGUUGAGCAUUGUACUUACGUGGAAGACGUCAACUAUUCAAGUUCUUCAACGGAACAAAUUUUCCUUGGAAAUUAUACAAAAUUUAUUUUGCAGUUUUAAAAAACGGUAAUUUUCAAGCGAGGAUUCUGAGAAUGGCUGGGUGCUUGACGAAAUCAAGUCACGGAUUGACAAAAGUGCUAUGGAUAUUUCUUCUCGUCUUGUCUGCGGUAUCUGAACAUCCAAAACCCUUCGUGAUCAUGAAGUCUUCAAUUGAUAACGUCCCCGAAAUUUCCACCGGUAUAAAUGUUCCACAAUCUCAGAUUCCCACGUUUCACGGACCACUUAUCAACCCUGCCUGGCAGACUGUCCCUCCAAGUACCCCCUCCAAGUCUCUGAAUUCGUACACAGCAUCUAAACCCUUAUCAGUUAAUAAACCAUGCUGGUGUACUACUCCCUUACCUCAAUCCUGCUUACAUACGUUUCCCUCCCCGGAUGCUGACCACCCUCAAACAACUAACGUUACCCGAACAACCUCGCCCACACGUGAUGACCUUGCAAGAUUUGAUAGAAUAUUGGAAGAAAUGUGUAAUAGUCCCGCACUUUUGAUUGCGUACUAUUAUACUCUCGGAAAUCGCGCCUCAAUUCCCAACGGGGCCACCCCUGUCUGGAUGGGCAGUUGGACAGGGUUUUACUUGUUUUUGGGUGCAAUUCAUUGGGCAAUUUGAAUCUAGUUCACCAAGUAUUUAAACAAACUACAAAACCAGUUAAAUACAUAGACUAGCAAAGUGUGAAGUAAAUAUAAAAGUUGAAUAAUUACUUGUUAGGAUUAAUUGUUUACAAGUUAUUUGAAUUAUUGCUUGGCUAAAACUUUAAAAAAAUUGGGCUGCUUAUCUAUGUACAUACUUAUUUGCUUAUUUGCAUGUGGGGAGAAAAUAGCAUUCUGCAAGAAAUUUUUACAAUUUGGGAAGAUUCAAAUGACAAAAAAACUUUGCAAGGGAGUUCAAUUAUUAUUGCCAUGAUAAAGAUAAUUGAUAGUACAAGUAAAUUAUUUCUAAAUUAUUUAUGAAAAGUAUGUAUAUGAAAUGAGUUUCACUAGCUUACGCACCCAGGUGAUUUUUUUUGUUAAAUACGUUCAACAAAAUCGUAUACAUACAUACGUGCAAUCAAAGCUUAUUAUUGAAUUGGGUCUUUUACUUUGAUGGAUGAUAAAAUGAUAAUGGAUAGCUUUUUAUACAAUAAACCUAAAAACUUAUGAGAAAA